UCGUAGACCCGAAACCAGGUGAUCUACCCAUGGUCAGGUUGAAGUUCAGGUAACACUGAAUGGAGGACCGAACCGACUUACGUUGAAAAGUGAGCGGAUGAACUGUGGGUAGCGGAGAAAUUCCAAUCGAACUUGGAGAUAGCUGGUUCUCUCCGAAAUAGCUUUAGGGCUAGCCUCAAGUGAUGAUUAUUGGAGGUAGAGCACUGUUUGGACGAGGGGCCCCUCUCGGGUUACCGAAUUCAGACAAACUCCGAAUGCCAAUUAAUUUAACUUGGGAGUCAGAACAUGGGUGAUAAGGUCCGUGUUCGAAAGGGAAACAGCCCAGACCACCAGCUAAGGUCCCAAAAUAUAUGUUAAGUGGAAAAGGAUGUGGCGUUGCCCAGACAACUAGGAUGUUGGCUUAGAAGCAGCCAUCAUUUAAAGAGUGCGUAAUAGCUCACUAGUCGAGUGACACUGCGCCGAAAAUGUACCGGGGCUAAACAUAUUACCGAAGCUGUGGAUUGUCCUUUGGACAAUGGUAGGAGAGCGUUCUAAGGGCGUUGAAGCAUGAUCGCAAGGACAUGUGGAGCGCUUAGAAGUGAGAAUGCCGGUGUGAGUAGCGAAAGA
RNAcentral lists this ribosomal RNA (606 nucleotides) under Escherichia coli. RNAcentral describes it as "partial 23S ribosomal RNA". It matches the Rfam family "Bacterial large subunit ribosomal RNA", at positions 707 to 1316 of the family's 2925-position model. Lineage: Bacteria; Pseudomonadati; Pseudomonadota; Gammaproteobacteria; Enterobacterales; Enterobacteriaceae. The record is from RNAcentral.